AGGGUUGUAGCUCAGUGGUAGAGUGCUUGUCUAGCAUGCAUGAGGCACUGGGUUUGAUCCCUGGCACCACAU
RNAcentral lists this transfer RNA (72 nucleotides) under Ictidomys tridecemlineatus (thirteen-lined ground squirrel). Its description in RNAcentral is "Spermophilus tridecemlineatus (thirteen-lined ground squirrel) tRNA". It matches the Rfam family "tRNA". Rfam says of the family: Transfer RNA (tRNA) molecules are approximately 80 nucleotides in length. Lineage: Eukaryota; Metazoa; Chordata; Mammalia; Rodentia; Sciuridae. The record is from Rfam by way of RNAcentral.